Molecule: ribosomal RNA, 430 nt
Filed under: uncultured bacterium
Lineage: Bacteria
Description: bacterial SSU rRNA
Rfam family: Bacterial small subunit ribosomal RNA
Source: RNAcentral
GAUGCGAUUAUAUCAAGUCAAAGGUCGUUUGAAGUUAGUGGCGAACGAGGUAGUAAUACAUAGGAACUUCCCCCAAAGUCGUGAAUAAUCUAUCGAAAGGUAGACUAAUACACGAUGGUCUCGCAAGAGUAAAGAUUUAUCGCUUUGGGAAAGGCCUGUGCAAUAUCAGCUAGUUGGUGAGGUAAUGGCUCACCAAGGCUAUGACGUUUAGGGGAGCUGAGAGGCUGACCCCCACCGAUGGUACUGAGACACGGACCAUACACCUACGGGUGGCUGCAGUCGAGAAUCUUCCACAAUGGACGAAAGUCUGAUGGAGCGACGCCGCGUGAUUGAUGAAGUCCCUCUGGGACGUAAAGAUCUUUUUUUAGGGACGAAUUUUAUGACGGUACCUAAAGAAUAAGAGGUUACUAACUCUGUGUCCGUGUCUGUG